Molecule: ribosomal RNA, 1367 nt
Filed under: Triticum aestivum (bread wheat)
Lineage: Eukaryota; Viridiplantae; Streptophyta; Magnoliopsida; Poales; Poaceae
Description: partial small subunit ribosomal RNA
Source: RNAcentral
CGCACCUGGUGGUGGUAUGCACUGUGGUAGCGUGACGGUAGUCUGCGAAGGAGAGCAGGAGGUAGAGGUGGCAGCGGAAGUGGAAGCGGAGACGAGGCCCCUCUCGAAGGUAUUCCAAGAGGCCGGGCAUGGGGCCGAUAGAAGGCCUACCUCCGCCGCGCAGUGCGCCCCUUCUUCGCCCCAGGCCUCCUGCUGCGCCUCCGCCUCCACGUGGUGUGCAAGGCCCCGCGGCGGUUGCGCGAGAGCGUCGAGAUGCGCGUCCGGCAGCGGUUGGUCUUCCGGAGGAAGUAGCGGCCGCUCGCGGUGCGGUACCUCGCAUGGGUAGCCACCUAUAGGUCAGUCGUACUUCUUCGUAGCCCUCACAGACAACGACUACAUGAACGAAUGAACGUCUUACUCUAACUCUCGUCUCCUCCGUACCGUCCCAGAAGGGUUGUAGGUUGAGGUGUCGGUCGUAUACCAGAAGGAAGACGUUUACAGGUUUAGUUGAGGAAGAGUAAACCUUUACACCGCCGACGUGAACUGAGAGUCGACAUGGUUUGUCUGGUUUGUUCUUGACGUCCGUAGAGUUUGCAAAAGUCGUCAGGAAGUGUCGUUUUAAGGGUAAGUUUGGUAGACCAAGUCACGAGUCCUGUACCGGGACAUUUGAGGGGCGGUUCACCUUCGUUUCGAGCCUUGCUGGUAAGAGGUGUCUUGGUCCUGAGGCACGUAGGGUUAAGCAUGCUCGGGAGGUACCUAUACUUGGUACUACGAGGAACUUCAACACUUGGUGGUAUACUUUCCACUGUUGUCGUAGUCAGUCAAAUAACCUUGGAGGUUAUAGACUAGGAAUAAACGACCUCUUCAGGGUACUUGAUCUCCAUGUACACUAAGGGGAGGUCUUGAGAGAACGGAAACAGACGCAGAGAACCGUGUUUCGAGGACGGAACACUGGUAUGACGAGUGAGAAGACCGUGGAACAUGUAUUGUCGGACUUUGAUAGGAAGACCAGAGACGACAACUAACGCCUAACGCUAGUGGACGAAAGAGCCAACGACUUACCUUCUACACUUGGACGUCCGACAGAGCCGUAUUAGCACGGACGUAAUGGUCAAGAAAAGACCACUAAUAAUGGUCUGCUCUCAGGUACGAGACUAGUUGUUCCUAGUAACACCACAACAACGUAUAAACACAAUGACUAUAGCGACGAUACAUACAAGAUAUACGUGGACAUUUUCUACGUCGCUACGUCUUUCUCUAUCUUGGAACAAAGUGGGGCAAGCAAAAACAACCAACUCACAGAAAUGGAACAUCUACAAUGUGUCUUUCGGACACACACAUGGGACUUAUUCGUGGCUUUAUUAUAUGUUAUUAUAUGUCAACUGCUA